UGCGUAGGCGGCUUUUUAAGUUUGGUGUGAAAUCUCCCGGCUCAACUGGGAGGGUGCGCCGAAUACUGAGAGGCUAGAGUGUGGGAGAGGAAAGUGGAAUUCCUGGUGUAGCGGUGAAAUGCGUAGAUAUCAGGAGGAACACCGGUGGUGUAAACGGCUUUCUGGACCAUAACUGACGCUGAGGCACGAAAGCGUGGGUAGAAC
Molecule: ribosomal RNA, 204 nt
Filed under: uncultured bacterium
Lineage: Bacteria
Description: partial 16S ribosomal RNA
Rfam family: Bacterial small subunit ribosomal RNA
Source: RNAcentral